CAACCUACUCCUAGGCUAUGAAGCCAUCCACCAGCCUUACCUAGGCACAGGCCAAUGCACUGCUGCCUGGGACAACAGGUCACUGCAGAACUGGCAUCACCCAAGAAUCCGAAGGACUCGGCUGAAUAAAGACCAUGAUCCGAAGUUAAAAGGAGUUUCAGUGUGGCAGGGAGACCAACGCAAGAGCAUCAUGACAUGAAUGCGGAAGGAAGUAGUCCCUCAAUGACCAACAGCCGACCUUAAGUUCACCACCAGAUGCUUCAUGACAAACUCACAAAGGCAAUAGCCACAAAG
Long non-coding RNA from Homo sapiens (human), 294 nucleotides. RefSeq lists it as uncharacterized. The transcript has 4 exons. The record is from RefSeq and is a predicted model, not a curated record. NCBI's taxonomy places the organism in Eukaryota, Metazoa, Chordata, Mammalia, Primates, Hominidae.